CUUCUUCUUGGUCAAACUUCCCAUUUCUGGUAAGUUCUUUGCUUUCUUGUGGACUUUUUGGUCAUGAGGUUCCUUGUUGGUCAAACUUUCCAUUUUUGGCAAGUCUGGUGUAUCUACUACCAUUGCAGCCCCCUUUUCACCAUCACCACCACUAUUGCUUCCAACAACCAACUCACCUCUACCAUUUUCCUGUAAACUUAUACAAUUAAAAAUGAGAAAAGAACAAACUAAUAAACUCCAUACAAAAAAUGAGAAAUUUUUACCUUCAAAGUUUCACCCUUAUCUGUUUUACUUUCAGCAUUUCCAAGAUUCACAUUCGGGACACUAAAAUCUCCAUUUUUGGAGUUGACUGAGCUUUCUGAACUUUUUGGAACCAAAUCUUCUUUCUUUGCUUUUUGUUCUGUUGCACCUGUAACUGAAGAUCCAUUACUUAAAAUGACAUUCAUUUGGGUCUCUUUUUGUACAAUUGAGGAUAUUUGGGUCUCUUUUGGUACAUUCAGGGGUAUUGGGGUGUCUUUUGGUACAACACUGGAACCAUUUCUCAUUGGAAUCUUUUGGGUCUCUUUUGAUACAUUGAGGCCAUUACUCAUUGGAAUCUUUUGGGUUUCUUUUGAUACACUGAGGCCAUUAUUCAUUGGAAUCUUUUCUUUCUGAUGAACAACAUCUGUAGUUUUCUUUGAUGGAAAACUCUUUUGAUCACGGAAAUAAAACAACAUGUAGGCUUUCUGCUCAAAAACCUUCUUUUCACUCACUUGAUAUACACGAUUGUCAUCAAGUGAAUACCACAUGCCACUAGAUGUCCUAACAAAGCAAUAAUAGUGCCCAGAAUGU
This 831-nucleotide long non-coding RNA is filed under the name Lactuca sativa (garden lettuce). Its description in RNAcentral is "long non-coding RNA (LSAT_LNC005612)". Lineage: Eukaryota; Viridiplantae; Streptophyta; Magnoliopsida; Asterales; Asteraceae. The record is from RNAcentral.